Non-coding RNA from Ceratotherium simum simum (southern white rhinoceros), 90 nucleotides. NCBI's taxonomy places the organism in Eukaryota, Metazoa, Chordata, Mammalia, Perissodactyla, Rhinocerotidae. The record is from RefSeq and is a predicted model, not a curated record.
CCUAUCUUCAAAAAGCUAUUAUAGAGAAUUGGUGUAAUUCCUUCCUUAAAUGUUUGGUAAAAUUUACCAAUGAACCCACAUGGGCCUGGU